GUUGGUGUGGUGUAGUGGUUAUCAUGUUAGUUUUACACACUACAGGUCCUUAGUUCCAUCCUGGGUAUCAACA
Transfer RNA from Ipomoea nil (Japanese morning glory), 73 nucleotides. It matches the Rfam family "tRNA". From Rfam's summary of the family: Transfer RNA (tRNA) molecules are approximately 80 nucleotides in length. Their secondary structure includes four short double-helical elements and three loops (D, anti-codon, and T loops). Further hydrogen bonds mediate the characteristic L-shaped molecular structure. tRNAs have two regions of fundamental functional importance: the anti-codon, which is responsible for specific mRNA codon recognition, and the 3' end, to which the tRNAs corresponding amino acid is attached (by aminoacyl-tRNA synthetases). tRNAs cope with the degeneracy of the genetic code in two manners: having more than one tRNA (with a specific anti-codon) for a particular amino acid; and 'wobble' base-pairing, i.e. permitting non-standard base-pairing at the 3rd anti-codon position. The record is from Rfam. Lineage: Eukaryota; Viridiplantae; Streptophyta; Magnoliopsida; Solanales; Convolvulaceae.